AUUCCAGCUCCAAUAGCGUAUAUUAAAGUUGUUGCAGUUAAAAAGCUCGUAGUCGGAUUUUGGCAUCACGCCGAACUGUCUGCCGAUUGGUAAGUACGGUUUGGCGGGUGCUUCCUUCCGGAGGCUCGUUCCCUUCUUCAUUGAAGGGUUCGUUGGUUCCGGGUCUUUUACUUUGAGAAAAUUAGAGUGUUCAAAGCAGGCCUAUGCUCUGAAUAGGUUAGCAUGGAAUAAUAGAAUAGGACUUUGGUUCUAUUCUGUUGGUUUCUAGGACCGAAGUAAUGAUUAAUAGGGACAGUUGGGGGCAUUAGUAUUUAAUUGUCAGAGGUGAAAUUCUUGGAUUUAUGAAAGACUAACUACUGCGAAAGCAUUUGCCAAGGAUGUUUUCAUUA
RNAcentral lists this ribosomal RNA (389 nucleotides) under Picozoa sp. RNAcentral describes it as "partial small subunit ribosomal RNA". It matches the Rfam family "Eukaryotic small subunit ribosomal RNA", at positions 582 to 975 of the family's 1831-position model. Lineage: Eukaryota; Picozoa. The record is from RNAcentral.